AUCUUUGUCAGUGGCAGUGUUGUAUCCAAUGAGGUUUAUCUGAGGUGCAAUUAUUGCUAAUUCAAAUAUUGCAAUAUAGCCAAGGAUUUAGCUCAGUGGUGCCACUGCCUGCCUUGCAAGUGCAAGAUUCUGCAUUCAAUUCCCAGUACAAUAUAUAUAUAUAUAUAUAUAUA
Molecule: small nuclear RNA, 173 nt
Filed under: Heterocephalus glaber (naked mole-rat)
Lineage: Eukaryota; Metazoa; Chordata; Mammalia; Rodentia; Bathyergidae
Description: U4 spliceosomal RNA (ENSHGLG00000024884.2)
Rfam family: U4 spliceosomal RNA
About the family: U4 small nuclear RNA (U4 snRNA) is a component of the major U2-dependent spliceosome. The structure of U4 snRNA from yeast and human has been reported.
Source: RNAcentral